ACACAUGCAAGUCGAACGGCAGCACGGGUGCUUGCACCUGGUGGCGAGUGGCGAACGGGUGAGUAAUACAUCGGAACAUGUCCUGUAGUGGGGGAUAGCCCGGCGAAAGCCGGAUUAAUACCGCAUACGAUCUACGGAUGAAAGCGGGGGAUCUUUGGACCUCGCGCUAUAGGGUUGGCCGAUGGCUGAUUAGCUAGUUGGUGGGGUAAAGGCCUACCAAGGCGACGAUCAGUAGCUGGUCUGAGAGGACGACCAGCCACACUGGGACUGAGACACGGCCCAGACUCCUACGGGAGGCAGCAGUGGGGAAUUUUGGACAAUGGGCGAAAGCCUGAUCCAGCAAUGCCGCGUGUGUGAAGAAGGCCUUCGGGUUGUAAAGCACUUUUGUCCGGAAAGAAAUCCUGAGGGCUAAUAUCCUUCGGGGAUGACGGUACCGGAAGAAUAAGCACCGGCUAACUACGUGCCAGCAGCCGCGGUAAUACGUAGGGUGCGAGCGUUAAUCGGAAUUACUGGGCGUAAAGCGUGCGCAGGCGGUUUGUUAAGACCGAUGUGAAAUCCCCGGGCUCAACCUGGGAACUGCAUUGGUGACUGGCAAGCUAGAGUAUGGCAGAGGGGGGUAGAAUUCCACGUGUAGCAGUGAAAUGCGUAGAGAUGUGGAGGAAUACCGAUGGCGAAGGCAGCCCCCUGGGCCAAUACUGACGCUCAUGCACGAAAGCGUGGGGAGCAAACAGGAUUAGAUACCCUGGUAGUCCACGCCCUAAACGAUGUCAACUAGUUGUUGGGGAUUCAUUUCCCUAGUAACGUAGCUAACGCGUGAAGUUGACCGCCUGGGGAGUACGGUCGCAAGAUUAAAACUCAAAGGAAUUGACGGGGUCCCGCACAAGCGGUGGAUGAUGUGGAUUAAUUCGAUGCAACGCGAAAAACCUUACCUACCCU
This 936-nucleotide ribosomal RNA is filed under the name uncultured bacterium. Its description in RNAcentral is "bacterial SSU rRNA". It matches the Rfam family "Bacterial small subunit ribosomal RNA", at positions 51 to 981 of the family's 1533-position model. The record is from RNAcentral.